This 460-nucleotide ribosomal RNA is filed under the name uncultured bacterium. RNAcentral describes it as "partial 16S ribosomal RNA". It matches the Rfam family "Bacterial small subunit ribosomal RNA", at positions 338 to 795 of the family's 1533-position model. The record is from RNAcentral.
CCUACGGGUGGCAGCAGUGAGGAAUAUUGGGCAAUGGGCGAGAGCCUGAACCAGCCAAGUAGCGUGAAGGAUGACUGCCCUAUGGGUUGUAAACUUCUUUUAUAAGGGAAUAAAGUGAGCCACGUGUGGGGUUUUGUAUGUACCAUAUGAAUAAGGAUCGGCUAACUCCGUACCAGCAGCCGCGGUAAUACGGAGGAUCCGAGCGUUAUCCGGAUUUAUUGGGUUUAAAGGGAGCGUAGGUGGGUUGUUAAGUCAGUUGUGAAAGUUUGGGGCUCAACCGGAAAAUUGCAGUUGAAACUGGCAGCCUUGAGUGCAGGAGAGGUAGGCGGAAUUCGUGGUGUAGCGGUGAAAUGCUUAGAUAUCACGAAGAACUCCGAUUGCGAAGGCAGCCUACUGGACUGCCACUGACGCUGAGGCUCGAAAGUGUGGGUAUCAAACAGGAUUAGAUACCCCAGUAGUC